This 494-nucleotide ribosomal RNA is filed under the name uncultured bacterium. RNAcentral describes it as "partial 16S ribosomal RNA". It matches the Rfam family "Bacterial small subunit ribosomal RNA", at positions 28 to 507 of the family's 1533-position model. The record is from RNAcentral.
GACGAACGCUGGCGGCGUGCUUAACACAUGCAAGUCGAACGGUGAAGCGCCUUCCUUUUUGGUGGGUGUGGAUGAGUGGCGAACGGGUGAGUAACACGUUAGUAACCUGCCCCCUUCUUCUGGAUAACCGCAUGAAAGUGUUGCUAAUACGGGAUAUUCUGGUUCUGUCGCAUGAUGGUUCUGGGAAAGAUAUUGUUUCGGUGGGGGAUGGGCUCGCGGCCUAUCAGCUUGUUGGUGGGGUGAUGGCCUACCAAGGCGGUGACGGGUAGCCGGCCUGAGAGGGUGGACGGUCACAAUGGGACUGAGACACGGCCCAGACUCCUACGGGAGGCAGAAGUGGGGAAUAUUGCACAAUGGGCGCAAGACUGAUGCAGAGACGCCGCGUGAGGGAUGGAGGCCUUCGGGUUGUGAACCUCUUUCGCCAGUGAAGCAGGCCUGCCUCGUUUGUGGGUGGGUUGACGGUAGCUGGAUAAGAAGCGCCGGCUAACUACGUG